Bombyx mandarina (wild silkworm) is the source of this 377-nucleotide long non-coding RNA. Lineage: Eukaryota; Metazoa; Arthropoda; Insecta; Lepidoptera; Bombycidae. The record is from RefSeq and is a predicted model, not a curated record.
CGGUACGCGUCUGACGCGGUUUUUUUUAAUUCGCCAUCUUCUUUUACGUUUGAAAAAAGAACGACGAAUUUUUUUCAUAGUGUGCGAAAUUUUUGUGCUUCAGUAUAAUUAAUUGGAUGCCUCUUUUUUGGAUAUAAUUGAUAUUCGUGAGGCUACAUCCGAGUAGAUUACACGAGUGAAUGAGACGAAAUAGUGACAAAAUGCAAAAGUGUCGCACGUGCAAGUGAGUUAGUGUUAAAGUGUCAGACAAUGUUUGUGUUCAAAAUAUUGUGGGUGCUGCUGGCGAGCUUCGCCGUGAGGCAUGUCUUGGGUUGUAACUUCUACCCGGUGGGAGAAUACCUGAAGUUCGUGAGGAUACCAGAAAACCUGAAAGUUGG